Dreissena polymorpha is the source of this 247-nucleotide long non-coding RNA. RefSeq lists it as uncharacterized. The transcript has 3 exons. The record is from RefSeq and is a predicted model, not a curated record. Lineage: Eukaryota; Metazoa; Mollusca; Bivalvia; Myida; Dreissenidae.
CUUUGGUUCCGACACUCGAAUAAGUGCCUGUGAAGCAAUAGAAAUUCUACAUCUCAAACAUGAACAAACUCGUCCUGGUGCUCCUGCUUGUAGGCUGCGUCGCUCUGCUGACUCUGCCGCCACAAGUUGAAGCGCAAAAACGUGUUGGUUCGUGUAAUUGCCGACAAAUCUGUCUUUCUGACGAGACUAACACAGGCAGCUGCCCACGUGAGCGAGGGCAAUGGUGCUGCAAAAAACGUUGAUAAUU